GUCAAACCAGGAUCUUCACUACAGCAGUAUGCUGUAUGGGAAGCAGAGAAAGGAGGAGGCAGAGAGAGAAGGGAGGGAGGAAGGAAGAGGGCAUCAGCUGAUACACACAAGAAAUGGACUGUCCCCCUCUGUCCCUGUCUCGUCCCUGUCUCCUCCCUGCAACCUGGGGUGCUAGGCAAGAAAACAUGACACAACUAAAAUUACAGUGGAACAGGACUUGCAGGAGACAACAGCCACACUGACCAUAGCUAACAACUAAGGAGAUAAUUCAACAGCAUCAAAAUUGAACUUACGAUGUGAAUAGAGACUGUGUAGUGACCAAAUGUAUCACUUUUCCUCAAAUGCCCAUGUUGUAUUGAUGCUGAUGUGACUGUCAGUAGUGCUGAAACCACUGACCUGCCUUCAACUCCUCUGGGGAGGCAGUGACAACUGGCAGUGACACGGAUGAUGCUUGACUGAGUCUGCAGGCCCCAUUAGUGGCAGCCAUGCAGAACCACCACUGGAGCUCCUGUACAGAGAGUAUAGGACAGCCAGGCUGAGACAUGGAAGAGCUGGGUGGAGCACAUCCUGGCAGAGCCCCAGCCCUUUCCCCUGACUGGGCUGACAGACAAUGAAGAGCUACACUGUGAAGCCUGGCCUGUACCAAGGAGCUGCACUGUGGUGCCCCACCUGUAUGAAGGAGCUACACUGUGGUGCCCCACCUGUAUGAAGGAGCUGCACUGUGGAGCCCCACCUGUACAAAGGAACUGCACUGUGGAGUCUGGCCUGGCCUGUACCAAGAAGCUGCAGUGUGGAGCCCGGCCUGUACCAAGGAACUGUACUGUGGAGCCCCACCUGUACCAAGGAGCCUGGCCUGUACCA
This is a long non-coding RNA of Haliotis rufescens (red abalone), 861 nucleotides long. RefSeq lists it as uncharacterized. Lineage: Eukaryota; Metazoa; Mollusca; Gastropoda; Lepetellida; Haliotidae. The record is from RefSeq and is a predicted model, not a curated record. The transcript has 4 exons.